CCUACGGGAGGCAGCAGUGGGGGAUAUUGCACAAUGGGGGGAACCCUGAUGCAGCGACGCCGCGUGGGUGAAGGAGUGCUUCGGCAUGUAAAGCUCUAUUGGCAGGGAAGAAGCAUGACGGUACCUGACUAAGAAGCAGUGGCUAACUAGGUACCAGCAGCCGCGGUAAUACGUAGGGGACGAGCGUUAUCCGGAUUCACUGGGUGUAAGGGGAGUGUAGAGGGUCAGGCAGGCCAGGGGUGAAAGCCCGGGACCCAACCCAGGGACUGCCCUUGAAACUGCAUGGCUGGAGUGCGGAAGGGGCAGGCGGAAUGCCUGGUGUAGCGGUGAAAUGCGUAGAUAUCAGGAGGAACACCGACUGCGAAGGCAGCCUGCUGGACCGCGACUGACGUUGAGGCUCGAAAGCGUGGGGAGCGAACAGGAUUAGAUACCCUUGUAGUC
This 441-nucleotide ribosomal RNA is filed under the name uncultured bacterium. RNAcentral's name for it is "partial 16S ribosomal RNA". It matches the Rfam family "Bacterial small subunit ribosomal RNA", at positions 338 to 795 of the family's 1533-position model. The record is from RNAcentral.